Molecule: transfer-messenger RNA, 358 nt
Filed under: Candidatus Saccharimonadota bacterium
Lineage: Bacteria; Candidatus Saccharimonadota
Also listed under: 1 other name
Rfam family: transfer-messenger RNA
About the family: Bacterial tmRNA, also known as 10Sa RNA or SsrA, is named for its dual tRNA and mRNA-like properties. Its role is to liberate the mRNA from a stalled ribosome.
Source: RNAcentral
GGGGCUGACAAAGCUUAGACGGACUAUUAACAGAUAUCAGGCGUGUCGAUUAAAUACCGUAAGUAUUGAAUAAGUGCUAAAAACACGAAAACUGCGCAUGUUAUGUACAUGCCAGCUUAUGCUUAAUUUAAUUUAGGCUGGUUUCGGUUCAAGUUUCCGUAGAAUCGGAAUUAUCAUACAACGGAAAUAAGGUCGUAAAAGUGGCGAGAUAUGACAUGAAAAUUUUGCCAUGGCGAUUUGCAAGUUUCGUUUCCUGCUGCUUGUAAUUAGAUGCCGAGAUUAAAACAGAAAACUAUGCACGUAGAAUGGUAUCCAUGUGGUAAUUCGGACCCGGAGGCAGUAUCCGGCAGCUCCACCA